Non-coding RNA from Pelobates cultripes (western spadefoot toad), 506 nucleotides. The record is from the annotation of a GenBank genome assembly. Lineage: Eukaryota; Metazoa; Chordata; Amphibia; Anura; Pelobatidae.
GUACACACUUCAUUUCACCUACCGCCAGAAAGACUACUGUGCAUUCAUUAGAAAGCAUCUCUGGAAAAGUUGGACCGCAUGCAGGAAGGCAGAAUAAAUGCCAGGAAAUUAUGUCCAGGAUAAUACUGCAGAUGAUGAAGGCACCCACGUUCUAUAAAUACAGUUCAAAUUUGGACAAAUAACGAGGAAAUAAAAUUCAUCAUUAGCACUGUGGCAGCAUAAAGGUUGGGCAUUGGGUGACAGGAGAGCCCCAGUUUGUUCCAAUUGAGUAGAAACCAGGUUGACAAAAAUCUAGUGGACUGCACCUAAAGACUCCGUGUAUUAUAGCAACAAAAAUGUGGUGCGUAUCUGUUAAAAGAAUUCUCCAAGCACCAUAACCACUACAGUACCCUGGCUUGUCCUGGAGCCAUUGUAUUCAAUCAAACCAUUUUAAGAAUGGUUUGACUCCUUAUCUGGGAUCCACCGUUGUAGUAGGGCUUGGCUCAUUGGCUGAGAGUGAUUAUUUC